AAGUCGUAACAAGGUUUCCGUAGGUGAACCUGCGGAAGGAUCAUUAAAGAGUUUAGGGGUUCCUAGUGGGCCCCAACCUCCCAAACCCCUCCUGGUUUGGUUUAAAAACUAACCCUUGUUGCUUUUGGGCGGGGACCGUUCGGGUCUCCCGAGCGCGUUUAACCCUCGGGGUUGGCGGGGCGCCCGCCAGAGUCCAACCAAACUCUUGUAUUAAACCAGUCGUCUGAGUAUAAAAUUUUAAUUAAAUUAAAA
Molecule: unclassified non-coding RNA, 252 nt
Filed under: plant metagenome
Description: partial contains small subunit ribosomal RNA and internal transcribed spacer 1
Rfam family: Eukaryotic small subunit ribosomal RNA (bases 1-46)
Source: RNAcentral